CACCUCGAAGGCGAUGUGCGC
Molecule: non-coding RNA, 21 nt
Filed under: Arabidopsis thaliana (thale cress)
Lineage: Eukaryota; Viridiplantae; Streptophyta; Magnoliopsida; Brassicales; Brassicaceae
Source: RNAcentral